UACGUAGGGUGCAAGCGUUAAUCGGAAUUACUGGGCGUAAAGCGUGCGCAGGCGGUGAUGUAAGACAGUUGUGAAAUCCCCGGGCUCAACCUGGGAACUGCAUCUGUGACUGCAUCGCUGGAGUACGGUAGAGGGGAUGGAAUUCCGCGUGUAGCAGUGAAAUGCGUAGAUAUGCGGAGGAACACCGAUGGCGAAGGCAAUCCCCGUGGACCUGUACUGACGCUCAUGCACGAAAGCGUGGGGAGCAACAGG
This 252-nucleotide ribosomal RNA is filed under the name uncultured bacterium. RNAcentral describes it as "partial 16S ribosomal RNA". It matches the Rfam family "Bacterial small subunit ribosomal RNA", at positions 524 to 775 of the family's 1533-position model. The record is from RNAcentral.